CCUACGGGUGGCAGCAGUGGGGGAUAUUGCACAAUGGGGGAAACCCUGAUGCAUCGACGCCGCGUGGGCGAAGAAGUAUUUCGGUAUGUAAAGCCCUAUCAGCAAGGAAGAAGAAAUGACGGUACCUGAGUAAGAAGCACCGGCUAAAUACGUGCCAGCAGCCGCGGUCAUACGUAUGGGGCAAGCGUUAUCCGGAUGUACUGGGUGGAAAGGGAGCGCAGGCGGCACGGCAAGCCUGAUGUGAAAGCCCGCGGCCCAACCGCUGGACUGCAUUGGAAACGACCGGGCUGGAGUGACGGAGAGGUAGGCGGAAUUCCUAGUGUAGCGGUGAAAAGCGAAGAUAUGAGGAGGAACACCAGUGGCGAAGGCGGCCUACUGGACGGUGACUGACGCUGAGGCUCGAAAGCGUGGGGAGCAAACAGGAUUAGAUACCCGGGUAGUC
This 442-nucleotide ribosomal RNA is filed under the name uncultured bacterium. RNAcentral describes it as "partial 16S ribosomal RNA". It matches the Rfam family "Bacterial small subunit ribosomal RNA", at positions 338 to 795 of the family's 1533-position model. The record is from RNAcentral.